AGAGUUUGAUCAUGGCUCAGGAUGAACGCUGGCGGCGUGCCUAACACAUGCAAGUCGAGCGAAGUUACUUUAGGAAGCCUUCGGGUGGAAUGGAUUUAACUUAGCGGCGGACGGGUGAGUAACGCGUGGGCAACCUACCCUGUACAGGGGAAUAACAAUGGGAAACCAUUGCUAAUACCCAUAAUACCUUUUAGGGGCAUCCCUUAAAGGUCAAAGAAUUUCGGUAUAGGAUGGGCCCGCGUCGCAUUAGCUAGUUGGUAAGGUAAUGGCUUACCAAGGCGACGAUGCGUAGCCGGCCUGAGAGGGUGAACGGCCACACUGGAACUGAGACACGGUCCAGACUCCUACGGGAGGCAGCAGUGGGGAAUAUUGCACAAUGGGGGAAACCCUGAUGCAGCAACGCCGCGUGAGCGAUGAAGGCUUUCGGGUCGUAAAGCUCUGUCCUAAGGGAAGAUAAUGACGGUACCUUAGGAGGAAGCCCCGGCUAACUACGUGCCAGCCGCAGC
RNAcentral lists this ribosomal RNA (506 nucleotides) under uncultured bacterium. Its description in RNAcentral is "bacterial SSU rRNA". It matches the Rfam family "Bacterial small subunit ribosomal RNA", at positions 8 to 518 of the family's 1533-position model. The record is from RNAcentral.